Molecule: long non-coding RNA, 1935 nt
Organism: Sardina pilchardus (European sardine)
Lineage: Eukaryota; Metazoa; Chordata; Actinopteri; Clupeiformes; Clupeidae
Exons: 2
Source: RefSeq, a predicted model, not a curated record
GAUAAAUUUUAUAUGUUUCUCAUUGUAUUAACCAUUUACUAUGGCUUACAUAUAUAAUUAACUCUAGUUGCCAUCCUGGCCUUAGAAAUGUGAAGAUAGCCAGAACCCCUGCUGUGGCAAUGUGAGGAUGGUGGCCCCUUGGUGACCCCAUGAAACACAAACAUGGUUUAGGUUGAGGAGUUCUUGUAAACAUUCUUAUCUCUGUUAAUUACCAGGUGGUUAAAGACUUACCAGUGUAUCUAGUGAUGUUCCAUGGGUGUGUGUGUGUGUGUGUGUGUUAAGGGUAUAAGAACUGGCUUCACCCACAGAUGUGUGGGCUUGUUACUUUGACUUUCAUGUGAGUAACAUGCUCCCGGUAUCGUGAAUAAAGCUGCAGUCUCACACCAGUUGUCUUGGAAUAAUUUUGACCACAUAUUUGGCGACGAGGAUGGGAUACCUAUCUCUGAGACAUAGUGAGGAGGACCAAAGGCGCAGGACCCAACAAAGUUGCAACUGAGGGAGAUCUCUUUGUGAUCUUGGGAGAAGGCCGUUAACAGCAACCAACACUGCUCAGCGGCACCCAGCCUGGCCAGAGGGAAUCCUCCUGUGACUCGGAUACGGUAACACCCGUGUUUGGUGGUCACAGACAACUUGGUGGUGGCGUUGGCCCUUCCACAAAGUUUGCAAAGGACAAACCCAGCCAAGCCAGGCUUCUACGAACUCAUCAAAGGAUUGCAAAAGAAGAAAACGCCGGAACCAGGACAAGUGGAAAGGACCUUUUCAAGAAUUAUCAUCUACACCUACAUGUAUAGCCAUAAGGAUUUCAGAGUGGAGAAGAAUCCAGAACAUACAUGAACUGAACUGAACAUAACCAACACGUGGUUGCAAGAGAGGGUUGACAAACACAUUUUGCAAUAGACUGAAGAAUAGACUUUUAGGGAGAAUGAAUAAAAUAUCACUAGCAUCACAUUAAAAUAUUCUUUCUCAGUUUAGCUAGAUAAACGUUACAAGUUUGUUGUUUUGGUUUAAUUUUAUUUGGACAGUUACCUGAGGAGGGUCUAAACACCCAAGUCAGCUCUGCUGUUGAAGAAUAGGAUUAGGUUUUAUUUUUGGUUUUGAAUAACUGAGAUAACAGAAGAUGUUGAUGUUUGUUUUGCUUAUUAUUCACCUAAUCAUCCCUUAAGAAAGAAGUUUGUGAUAAUAAUAAAGUCUGUGAGUUAGCCUUCCAUGCUAAAUUAACAUUAACAGGAAAUAAUGAAAUAUGUUGGAUAUGCCAAGAAAAAUAUUUUUAAGUGCGAGUGUUUUCUCUAUUAAGUGUUUCCCUAUAGAACUUUUCAGGAUUCUCUGUGCGGUCUAUUGACUAUGUACCAGCCCUAAAUGUUUAUCAACAGUGACAUGGUCGCAUGCCAAGUGGAACUUCUAAAGAUUCAGAGAAAUACUAGAUAUUAAGAAAGAGGAAACGAUAGAACUAUAAAAUAAGUCUAACCUUCUGUUUAUUGUAUCAUGAAUAUGCAUAUUAUAUAUUGAUGCGAUAGGAAUGGAGCUUCAUAGCUCCACAGGGGGGAAUAUGUGGGAUAAAUUUUAUAUGUUUCUCAUUGUAUUAACCAUUUACUAUGGCUUACAUAUAUAAUUAACUCUAGUUGCCAUCCUGGCCUUAGAAAUGUGAAGAUAGCCAGAACCCCUGCUGUGGCAAUGUGAGGAUGGUGGCCCCUUGGUGACCCCAUGAAACACAAACAUGGUUUAGGUUGAGGAGUUCUUGUAAACAUUCUUAUCUCUGUUAAUUACCAGGUGGUUAAAGACUUACCAGUGUAUCUAGUGAUGUUCCAUGGGUGUGUGUGUGUGUGUGUGUGUUAAGGGUAUAAGAACUGGCUUCACCCACAGAUGUGUGGGCUUGUUACUUUGACUUUCAUGUGAGUAACAUGCUCCCGGUAUCGUGAAUAAAGCUGCAGUCUCACA